This 4166-nucleotide unclassified non-coding RNA is filed under the name Lytechinus variegatus (green sea urchin). RNAcentral describes it as "mucin-17-like, transcript variant X1". The record is from RNAcentral. Lineage: Eukaryota; Metazoa; Echinodermata; Echinoidea; Temnopleuroida; Toxopneustidae.
AAGCUACAGAUCUCUGCAAUAUUGUGCUUCAAAUGAAAUGUUGCCGUUGAAUCCCUCCUGCUCCAAGCAAACUUGAGUGUUUUCAUAAGCUACAGGUUAUCACGUUCCUGAAACCAAGAUGGAUGGUCCAUUUGCAAAACUUAUCGAACGUUCAGCUGAGAAAGGCAAUUUGAUCUACCCUGGUGUGUUGUUGGCCAAGUCCCUUCCAGUCGAGGAGGUGCUGUCUUUCAUCGAUGGGCAGUACAAGUUAGCCGUUGCAGCCCAUGAUGAACUAUGGAUUGAAUGCCUGCAGGAGCAUUUAGUCGACCAUAUGGCUCACAAUCUGCUCAUUUCAAGGUAUCCACACCUGAAUCCUUCAAAGAAUGUGCUUCCCAAGGAACACUUCCCAGACUUACUCUUCUUCGACCCAGGUAAAGUCAUGUGGGAUCCUGUGUUAAGUCGACAACAUCGUCGCUCUGCUGACCUCCUCUCCACUAGUGCGGAGUUUCGGAAAAGAGCAUCUAGAAUACGUCCUGAGCAACGGAGGCCGCCAACAAGCAGCCAGGGGGAAGAGAGUAAGGAGACUAAAGUGCUUCCAGGUACAGCCCCUCCCCUGACACCCUGCCCUGAUAGCACCGUUAAUGUCAAGGAGUAUAAAGAUGCCAAGCCUCUGGACACACCAACUUCUACUAAAAAGCGUAAGGCUAAAAAAAGAAACUGCCCAAUAACAGGGUGUAAUGCUCGAUUUACAGGGUCAGUUAGGAAACACAUAUAUGACCACAUGCCUGUCUGUCUGCGUCCUUCAAGUGAGACAUAUACUUCCAUCCGAGCUUAUUCUCAGGCAAGAUGCCUUCAUUAUUUUGCAAAGCAUAUCCUUCAAAGAGACAAUCUGCCUGAGCUGGUGUCCUGGUUAAAUGCCAAGGCUGAAGGAGCUGACUAUCAGUGGAACCUGCCAGAAGAUCUUCGUUUUGAAAUGGAGAACCUGGCCCGACAUAUGGAAUGGCCAAUAACUGAUACAAUUAAAGUUGGUCCUGCCAACCAUCCUGCCUCAUUGCUUCACUGGAGGGCUUUGGCAUUGCUAAGGAACGGUCUUCCUGAAAAUACUUUGAAAGGAUUUGAGUUGAUAUCAAGUUUAGGAAUUGAAACAAACCAGGUGAAGAAUAAUUCAGCUGGUUCCACACAGCCAGAGAUGACUGCUUUGAACAUGCAAACUCGUGCAAAUACAGCAAGUUCCCAAGUAAGAGACAUUUGUGCAGCUGCAACUGUUGAGUAUUUAACCACCACUACAAAGGAUUUAACCACUACUACAAAGGAUUCAACCACUACUGCACCAUCAGGUUCCUUACAUAUACAGCCAUCUCAACCUGCCAUUAUUCCAUCCCCGGCUAGGCCACCUGGUCCCUUGCAGGUCCUCCCUGCCCUAGUUGCUAAUUUGCUAACCUCUGUUGCUGCAGGCUCCUUACAGAUGCGCUCUACGCAAAUUUCCAUGUUUCCAAGGCCUGCUGUGCCAUCAUGUAACUCACAGAUACAACCUACCGAAGUAGCCAGAAAUAUAUCAUCCGCCAGGCCAUCAGGUUCCUCACAUAUACACUUUGCCCAAGGAACCACAAUUCCAGUGCCUGCUAGGUCAUCAGGUUCUUUCCCGAUUCCUCCUGUACAAGUAUCCACAAUUCCUACCCUAGCUGUGCCAUCAGGUAACUUUCAGAUGCGCCCUGCCCUAGGAGCCACAAUUCCAACCCUAGCUGUGUCAUCAGGUAAAUUCGAGAUGGGCCCUGCCCUAGGAGCCACGAUUCCAAUGCCCAAUUGGCCAUCAAGUUCCUCACUGAUACCUCCUGUCCGAUUGGCCACUCCAACUUCUGUUGCAUUAUCAGGUUCUGUUCCGAUACCCCUUUCUCAACUUGCCACAAUUCCACCCCCUGUUGUGGCAUCAGGUUCUUUACCAAUACGCCCUUCCCAAGUUGACAAGAUUCCAACUCCUGUAGCGGCAUCCGGUUCCUUACAGAUACUUCCUUCCCAAGGAGCAGAGAUUCCAGUACCAACUAGCACAUUAGACUUCGCCCCACCUUCAAAGGUCCCAAAGCUUUAUGGUUCGAAAAGUUUUUUCCAAACUUCCCCAACUUGGGGUUCUGUGGUUCCAAGCCUUUCUGGGGCACCGGGUUCCUUACAAAGUCCCCAAGCCCCAACUUCGAAAGCACCAAAAUCUGCUGAGCCAUCAGAAUCCUUACCAUACACAACCUCACCUUCCAUGGCUCCAAAUUCCACAAUGGGAUCAGGUUCCAUACAGGUACAUCCAGUUUUGUUACAGCGAACCACUGUGCCUACUUCCAAUGCUACAUCCCUUUCUGAGAUACCAGACUCCUUACAGAUAUCAUUGGCUGCAGCGUCCAAAUUGUCAACCUCUUCUGGAACUGGGAUGUCAGGUUUGUCCCAAGUUGCCAAGGGUCCGUUUCCUGAAAAAGCAUCAGGCUCCUUUAAGACUGGUCAGCUUGCACCAAUCCAGGUUGAGAUCAAAGCAGGGGAAUCAUGUUUUGUGAGGAAUAACAUAAGAGACGUUGUGCAGGAGCCACUCCUCUCUUCUAAGACGAUGCCCUCUUCUGUGGAUAUAACUCAAAAUAGUUCAAGAGAUACUUCUAAUGCAGAUAUUAGUGUCCCACUGAAGGCAUAUGAUAGUCAUUUUCAUUUGGACCAUUUAGAGCAAGAAACAGGAAAGCAGGGACAUGAUGCCAUAGCAGCAGUCACAGGCCGGAGACCCAGGGUCAAUAUUGAGCUAUGUGGUGGAGUUCUCAACUACAGUGACCCUGCUUACUUCAAUCAAAUACACUUCCCAACAAAAUCAUCUUUCAGGAUAGCAGUUGGGAUUCACCCAUGCCAUGCUUUUUGUGUAAGUGAAACAGACAUGAGCCAACUACGCAAUCACCUCUGUGACCUACAGGUGUGUGCUGUGAGUGAAGUUGGAUUGGAUUUCUCUUGCCCCAGAGUCCAGUGGAAUUGCCAGAAGGUGUUGCUACGUAUCAUUCUUGAGAUGGGGGUUGCAGGAAGGGUGCUAAUCCUACGCUUGCGUGCUGACGAAAUCAACCCUGCAGCAGAGAGGCCAUCCAAGGAGUGCAUGAAGAUCAUGUCAGAGUGUAAAGUGAGCCGUCACCAGCGAAUCCACCUCCACCUUUGUGACCUCAACAGUGAAGAGGUGGCUCUUUGGAAGCAAAGUUACCCAGAGUGUUAUUUUGGAUUUAGCAGCUCAUCAGAACAUUUUGGGCUGUCCCAACAAGAAGCUUUGAAACUUGUUCCACAUAAUCGUCUUCUACUUGAGUCUAAUGCUCCUUUCCUUCCAAUUGAUUUAACUGCCAAGUCAAAUUCCCCUGCUUACAUUGGAGAAAUAGCUCAGGUGCUUGCAGAAUGUCAACACCGCAACCUUGAAUCUGUUCUCAGGAGCACUACUGACAACGCAAUUUGCUUGUAUGGCCCCUGGCGGCAUUAACAAUAGUUUCUGCAUUUAGAGAUACCUGCACUUCAAAAUAUCACUAUUAUCACCAACUUUUCUGUUGGUUUUUGUUUUACUACCAAAAUUACUGUAUUCAUGUUUUGGUAAACUAAUGGUUUCAGAGGAUGAUCAUUUUUUCCCCGAUGUUCUAAUGUCCAAUCACGAUAUGGGGGCGUGAUGUAAAUUUUUCUAUUAUAAAAAGGAACAUGAAGAAAGGUUUAAAUAUCUGUUCUAAGUAAUAACUCUAUACGUUAAAUUUAUUGCAUGGGUUCUAACCAGCUUUGUUGCAUGUGGGUGUUUUGAAUAUUGAUAAAAAAAAACUUGAGUUGGCUAUGAAGCAUUGACUUUUCUUAAUGCAAUCUUGCUAUGAUUUUCUAUUAUGACUGUCAAUAUCAAGUCAAAAAUUAGCUUUGUUAUUCAGGUGAUUACAAAGUGUUCUUCUCUUCAGAAGAACUAGCAUAAUUGUAGAUCUCUUCUCUCCUGAAGCAAGAUGGACUGAUGGUGUUGACUGUCUCUCUGGUGACCAGGAGCAUGUGUUGUGCUGCAGCUGACAGUAUCAUUUUCCAAAUUACCGGGAAUGAGAAGAAUUCAAUCAGAUAAUCAAGUCCUUCCAUCCAUGAUGGAUUCUUCCUAUGCUGAGUUUAUCCACCAUUCAAUUGUGGAAGGGAAGCUGAUAUAUCCAGGAGUGUUGGUGGGUAAUAAGUCCCUA